CACCAUGUUGGCCAGACUUUUAUAAAUUUCAUAAAAUCUUCAGAAUGCAUUAAUAACUUUUUUUUUUUUUUGAGAUGGAGUCUCACUCUGUCACCAGGCUGGAGUGCAGUGGCACCAUCUCCACUCACUGCAACCUCCGCCUCCCUGAUUCAAGCAAUUCUCCUGCCUCGGCCUUCCAAGUAGCUGGGACUACAGCAUGUGUCAGCACGCCUGGCUAAUUUUUGUAUUUUUAGCAGAAGCAUGAUUUCACCAAAUUCGUCAGGUAUUUCAGGACAACUAGGAGGGGGCGCGUGUCCGCCGAGAAACUGUGAGCAACAGCGUCUGUGCUGAGCCCUGGCGCCACCAGAGGGCGCACGUACCCACUCCUGACCAACUUCCUUCUGAGGUGUCAGAAGCGCAAGGAGCUUUAUGUUCCUCAGGGCAGCAGGAAGGUCGUGUCAACUUGGUGUCGUUUAUUGGAAGGAACGCCAGUAGCUCCUGAUGGCAGAUGGGAAAAGAAGAGGUGACUCUGCCAUCUGCUGCUUACUGAUGGAUCUUGCUUGGUUACCCUGGCUAGAAUGCAGUGCCACAAUCGCAGCUCACUGCAGCCUCGACCUCCCAGGUUCAAGUGAUCCUCCCACCUCAGCCUCCUGAGUAUAUCAGACUACAGAAACAUCAUCCUGGCCAGGAGUGGUGGCUCACGUCUGUAAUCCCAGCAUUUUGGGAGGCCAAGGUAAGGGGAUCACAACGUCAAGAGAUCGAGACCAUCCUGGCCAACAUGGUAAAACCCCAUCUCUACUAAAAAUGCAAAAAUUAGCUGGGCAUGGUGGUGCACACCUGUAGUCCCAUUUACUCGGGAGGCUGAGGCAGGAGAACACUUGAACCCAGGAGGCGAAGGUUGUAGUUAGCCAAGAUCGUGCCAUUGCACUCCAGCCUGGUGACAGAGCGAGACUCUGUGUCAAAAAAUAAUAUAAAAGAAAAGAAAAAGAAAAAAAGAAACAUCAUCCUAGAACUGCUGUAAAAAGAUGAACCAGGGCCAUGGAGGGCAGAUUGAAGGAGAGAUGAGGCUAGAAAAGAUGAGGACGAGCAGGCAUUUGCUUUAUUAGCAGAAAAACAACUUAAAAGAAAAGACUAAUGAUAGGAGGGCCUGAAAUAGAGCAGGUACAAGGAGAGUAGCGGAUUGGUGGAGGCAUCAUAGAGCAAGGGGAAAUGAGGGAAGUCAGUUGGGGAAGCCCGCUAUCUGAUUCUGUCUUUGGAAGAAAAUACUGAAAGUUAAGAUAUUUCAAAUUAGUCAACCCCAAACAUAUGAAGUGUUUACCAAAAUACUGUGUGUCAAGGUUGUAUGUACAGGAAUGUGUGAAGCCUCCCUCUGGGGUAUCCAGCAGCAGUGCUCUUUGCAGCUCUCAAGCCUGUUUAGGACCUGGGCUCGUCACCUCUCUGCCCUCAUUUCUGAUCACUGGACCUUUGAAGGGAGCUGGAUUUCCCCGUUAGCUUAUCUGCAAUGACCAUUUGAUAACAGACAAUAGUCAUUGCAGUGGUGCAAGGAAAAGUAGACAACGCCUUCCACAAACAAUAUUCUGUAGCUCAACAAAAGGGACUAUAGAGCAGAACAAUAUUUAAUUCAAUUUAUCCACCCAUCCAUCUUUUCAUUCAGGUAUUCAGUUUCUAGUCAGUAAAUAUUUGCUAAGGACCUGUCCAUUCCAGUGUUAGCCAAGCAGGGUGCUGGGAACCAAGGAUGAAAAGGCCUUUGAAGAAUUCCCAUUCCAUAUCCCCUCCUGCAGAUUCCAGCCUUCAAUUCCUCCAGUCGGGCAUUCCUGCCUGACAACACUCUAGAUGGAGCAGACUCCACAUGACCAUCCUCAACCCCUUCCACCUCUCCAUUUCCACGUAGUUAAUUGGCCAGUUGUCUUCACCUUCUAUCUUCAGUUCUCACUCUUUACUCCUUAAAUGACUGAACUCUGAGUGCCCAUCACUGCUGCAGCUUAUGAAGACCAAAUUCAAUGAAUUCUGUGUGUGUGUGUGUGUGUGUGCAUGUGUGUGUCUGUGUGUGUCUGUGUGUGUGUGUGUGUGUAUGAGAGAGAGAGAGAAAGAGAGAGACAAAGAGAGUUGGAGUCUUACUCUGUUGCCCAGGCCGGAGUGCAGUGGUGCGAUCUUGGCUCACUGCAACCUCCGCCUCCUGGAUUCAAGCAAUUCUCCUUCCUCAAUCUCCUGAGCAGCUGAAAUUAUAGGCGCCCACCACCAUACCCAGCUAAUUUUUGUAUUUUUUAGGAGAGAUGGGAUUUCACCAUGUUGGCCAGGCUGAUCUUGAACUCCUGACCUCAGGUGAUCCACCUGCCUUGGCUUCCCAAAGUGCUGGGAUUACAGGCAUGAGCCACCACACCCAGCUCAAUGCAAUCCUUUUAAUGCCUACCCAACACCAUUUUGGGGAAGCAUUUGACACUGUUAAUAACUCCCUCCUUCAGACUCAUGUCUUGUUUCCACACUGAGUUCUCCCAGUGCCCCCUCUCCCUCUCAGUUCCCCUUUUAGGCUUUUUCUCCCACGCAUGUCCUUUAACUGCUAGUGUUCCCUAGUGUUCUGCCUUCAGCUCUGUCCCUGGGUGAUCUAGUCUCCACCUUAACAUAGCCUCAGUUGUUACCUAUAAGUUGUGGAUCCCCAAUCUAAGCCUGCAUCUAAGCACAGACAUGUCCCAUAGCCUAUUGGACAUCUCCAGUUGGGUAUACCUUGUUCAUUUCCUCACUUAUAACAUGGUCUUUUAACUUAUCUGUCUCCAACCCAGGCCAUAGGUCUCUUGUAUACUAUUGUAUCUCAUAGUGAACUCUAAACAGAAACUCAGUGAACAAUUGAGGAAUGAAUGAAUGAGAACUUGUCCAAGAGGAACCUGUCCACGGGCUGCUUAGUAUCCUGAAAAGAAAUUGUGAUAGAUUAUCUCAGAUUUUAAAAAACACAAGAACUGAAAUAAGUUGAGCAAAUCAGACUGAGCCAUUUAGGAAUUACAAAAUGGGGAACUGUUAAGAAAAUCUGUAGUUAGUGAUGGGCCAAAAGCUGGACAUGGUGGUUGAGAUGCGCCAUAGCAACUAUGGCUGUGUUUACAUGAAAAUUAUGAGGAAACAGAAACUGUGGUUAAGCAGAGAAGAACAUAGAGCAGUUAUACAGAAAGAAGCAAUGAUGUCAAGACACAAUGAAGCAAAGAGAGCAGCUUACUCCAUCAAAGACUGUGUCUGGAACAGCCCUUGCCCUACUUUACCUGACAUGAAAGCUGAGCCCACACAGCAGCUCCUCAGGAAGUCUCCCUGACCAGCAGUGUUUGGAGGCAGAAAUCAAUGUUCUCUGAAAAAAGGAUCAUAAGCUUCUUUCUAGCCCUGAAUGCCAAUUCCACCUAACACACAUUGUAAGAAUUCAGAGGCCAGGCGCAGUGGCCCACACCUGUAAUUCUAGCACUUUGGAAGGCCAAAGUGGGUGGAUCAUAAAGUCAGGAGUUCAAGACCAGCCUGGACAGCAUGGAGAAACCCCAUCUCUACUAAAAAUACAAAAAUUAGCUGGGAAUGGUGGCGUGUGCCUGUAUUCCUAGCUACUUGGGAGGCUGAGGCAGGAGAAUCACUUGAAUCUAGGAGAUGGAGGUUACAGUGAGCCGAGAUCACGCCACAGCACUCCAGCCUGGGCAACAGAGCAAGACUGUUUGAAAAAAAAGAAAAGAAAAGAAAUGAUGCACUUGUGACAAAACUUUCCAUAGCCAGUUUCCCAUUAUGUUCACUUUUAACAUCACUACCCCGAGCACCCUCCCAGCCCCCAAGGGAAGGGAGAAAGGAAAAAAUAAAUACAAAGCAUAUGCAAGGUGGGGAUGGGAGGUCCUCCUGCUCUUUUUCUGAAUGUCUGAGGCAGCAAAGGUAGAAAUGUGAACCUCUGGUGAGCGAGCUGAGGAAUAAACAGGCUGGGAUGUGAGUGUGGCUGGGAGUAUGAUGGGGUGAUGUAGGUGUGGAACAGGAAAACCAGUAUUGCAGUGUCCUCUUGGCUCACCCACUUCAUUUUUGUAACUGAGGGAUUUUACAUUGAUUUUUUAUGUGUGUGUAUCUUGCAUAGACUGCAAGAUACACAUGUUCUCAUAAAACUUUAUGAGAACCUUAAAAAAUGCUUUUAUUUUUGAGAUAGGGUCUUGCUUUGUCACCCAAGCUGGAGUGCAGUGACAAGGUCAUAUCUCACUGCAGCCUUGACUUCCUGGAUUCCAAUGAUCCUCCUGCCUCAGCCUCCCAAGUAGCUAGGAGUACAGGCACAAGCCACCACACCUAGCUAUUUUUUCUUUUUCUUUUUUUGUAAAGAUGGGGUUGCCCUGUGUGCCUAGGCUGGUCUCAAACUCCUGGACUCAAGCGAUUCUCCCACCUCAGCCUCCCAAAGUGUUGGGAUUAUAGGCAUGAGGCACUGUGCCUGGCCUAAACUCUUUUUGAAAAAGAAGAAAUACAGGCUUGUGAUGGAUUGUUAAAAGCUGUAAUAAAGACUGCACUCUGACCAGGUGUAGUGGUUUACGCCUGCAAUCCCAGAACUUUGGGAGGCUGAGGUGGGCAGAUCACUUAAGGCCAGAAGUUUGAGAUAAGCCUGGCCAACAUGAUGAAACCCUGUCUCUACCAAAAACACAAAAAUUAUCCAGGUGUGGUGGCGUACAACUAUAGUUCCAGCUACUCAGGAGGUUAAGUCAUGAGGAUCACUUGAACCUGGGAGGUGGAGGUUGCAGUGACCCGAUAUUGUACCACUGCACUCCAACCUGGGCAAUAGAGCAAGACUCUGUCUUCAAAACAAAACAAACACAACAACAACAAAAAAAACAGCGCUCUGAUUUCAUUUCUUAUAUAUUUUGUCUAAUGUGAAAGGAAGGAUUACAUGGUGUAUGCCUGGAUACCCAAGUCCCAAGUGUUUCCCUAAUUUCCUCUGAUCUUUGGGCUAGUUGAACUGCCUCCUGUUGUCUCUCAUGGCACCCUGUGAUUCCCUCACACUGUAUUGUUGUUUACCCUAUACAGACUGUAAACUCCCAGAGAUGAAGACCAUGCUGUGUUCCCAUUAAUCAUGUAGAGCCUGGAAUACAAGAGGCCUUUAGCAAUGUUUGUUGAAUGAAUGCGUGAUAUAAUUAGUAAAUACAUUUGUGUCAACAAGAAA
Callithrix jacchus (white-tufted-ear marmoset) is the source of this 5122-nucleotide non-coding RNA. The record is from RefSeq and is a predicted model, not a curated record. Lineage: Eukaryota; Metazoa; Chordata; Mammalia; Primates; Cebidae.